This 468-nucleotide ribosomal RNA is filed under the name uncultured bacterium. Its description in RNAcentral is "partial 16S ribosomal RNA". It matches the Rfam family "Bacterial small subunit ribosomal RNA", at positions 28 to 507 of the family's 1533-position model. The record is from RNAcentral.
GACGAACGCUGGCGGCGUGCUUAACACAUGCAAGUCGAACGGAAAGGCCCUGCUUUUGUGGGGUGCUCGAGUGGCGAACGGGUGAGUAACACGUGAGUAACCUGCCCUUGACUUUGGGAUAACUUCAGGAAACUGGGGCUAAUACCGGAUAGGAGCUCCUGCUGCAUGGUGGGGAUUGGAAAGUUUCGGCGGUUGGGGAUGGACGCGCGGCUUAUCAGCUUGUUGGUGGGGUAGUGGCUGACCAAGGCUUUGACGGGUAGCCGGCCGGAGAGGGUGACCGGCCACAUUGGGCCUGCGAUACGGCGCAGACUCCUACGGGAGGCAGCGGUGGGGAAUAUUGCACAAUGGGCGGAAGCCUGAUGCAGCAACGCCGCGUGCGGGAUGACGGCCUUCGGGUUGUAAACCGCUUUCGCCUGUGACGAAGCGUGAGUGACGGUAAUGGGUAAAGAAGCACCGGCUAACUACGUG